Oryzias melastigma (Indian medaka) is the source of this 960-nucleotide long non-coding RNA. RefSeq lists it as uncharacterized. The transcript is spliced from 3 exons. The record is from RefSeq and is a predicted model, not a curated record. Lineage: Eukaryota; Metazoa; Chordata; Actinopteri; Beloniformes; Adrianichthyidae.
AUUGACACCACAAGGUCAGCUGGUCCAAUCAGCUGACACCCAUCAGCUGGUGACAAUUUAAAAGGCAACCUGCAGACAAGAGAAAAAAAAAAUUAAAAAAAGAACACACACACAUAUGUCCACCAACACAUACCUUGAGGGUCAUGCUGACAAGGAGUUUCAGUAAAAGGCUACACAGAUUUGUGGAAGAGGGGGACACACUUCAUGUAGAAAUAAAGAGUUGUUGGUCCUUGAGUCAGCAGAGGUCCAUCCAUGAAUUCUUGAUAGCCAUUCCUACAUGGCUUACGGCAGUGACCUUAAAUCAAGCAAAAGAAGAAGGCUGCAGUGCUGCCCUCCCUCCAAGAUUACUCAAGGCUGACCUCAUUUAACCAACAUCUCCUGCAAACAAGUCAACGAUGAAACCUCCCGCUGUGGCAAAUUAAUGUUCUCUGGCAUGGAAUAACUUCUUGAGAGUUAAUAAGACGUGCUGUCCAAAGGAUGUGCUGCAUGCUGGAAUGUUGUGGAGCAUACCAAGUAAGCACUUCACAAAGGAAAAUAUAUGCUUAAAUUCUGUUUUAAAAAUCCUAUGAAAGAGUCUUUCAUCCUCAGAACUCGCGGCCCGACUCUGCUGCCCCUCCUUCUGCCUGCCUUGUCAUGCCACUGCUCGGCUCAUAUGCCAGAUCUACAGCCCAAGGCAGCAAAUGAGUCAUGUCUGCAUGCAUUCAACCAGGUCUCACAACCAGGUGUCACUGGAACAGUGGCAGCCCUGCAGGCUGCAGGGAAAAAGGUGACCAUUCUGAGGAAAUCCAUCUAUCAAUACUGACAACAGACACACUGUUUAUUUGGCAAUCGGCUUUACCAGAGUGUUUUGCUCACUUCUGUGUUCAGCCUGUUUGUGCCCCGUGAUCUCCUGCAGAUUAAAAGUUACAAACCAAAUCAUCGUUUUUGCCAAAAAGAAAAAAAUAUAUAUUUACAUUCUGU